RNAcentral lists this microRNA precursor (103 nucleotides) under Marmota monax (woodchuck). Lineage: Eukaryota; Metazoa; Chordata; Mammalia; Rodentia; Sciuridae. The record is from RNAcentral.
AGAGAAAUAUCUGGGUCAAAUGGUGGUUCCUUUCCCAGUUUUCCAAGGAAUCUCCAUACUUCUUUCCAAAUUGGCUGCGCCAAUUUGAAGUCCCAAAAGCUAU